GUGGUUCGUCCCAGACAUAGACAUACCCCUUUGAAGUAGAGAAACCAUAGUUAUACUCUCUAUUCUGCUACCAUCGCCCAUAUACUAGAAUUGCUCUAUUCUCUAUUCCCAUAUUAUCACUCACUGUUAUCUUACCUUUAAUAUUGUUCUUAUUCAAUUCUACCAUCUUUCCUAUUUACACUUAUCUAUCUAUCUUGGUUAAGUUAGAGCGU
Molecule: long non-coding RNA, 212 nt
Filed under: Sorghum bicolor (sorghum)
Lineage: Eukaryota; Viridiplantae; Streptophyta; Magnoliopsida; Poales; Poaceae
Description: long non-coding RNA (SBIC_LNC014337)
Source: RNAcentral